Molecule: ribosomal RNA, 434 nt
Filed under: uncultured Oscillospiraceae bacterium
Lineage: Bacteria; Bacillati; Bacillota; Clostridia; Eubacteriales; Oscillospiraceae
Description: partial 16S ribosomal RNA
Rfam family: Bacterial small subunit ribosomal RNA
Source: RNAcentral
ACGGAAGGCAGCAGUGGGGAAUAUUGGGCAAUGGGGGAAACCCUGACCCAGCAACGCCGCGUGAAGGAAGAAGGCCUUCGGGUUGUAAACUUCUUUUCCCAGGGCCGAUAAUGACGAUACCUGGAGAAAAAGCAACGGCUAACUACGUGCCAGCAGCCGCGGUAAUCCGUAGGUUGCAAGCGUUGUCCGGAUUUACUGGGUGUAAAGGGCGUGUAGGCGGAGCUGCAAGUCAGAUGUGAAAUCCCGGGGCUCAACCCCGGAACUGCAUUGGAAACUGUAGCCCUUGAGUAUCGGAGAGGCAAGCGGAAUUCCUAGUGUAGCGGUGAAAUGCGUAGAUAUUAGGAGGAACACCAGUGGCGAAGGCGGCUUGCUGGACGACAACUGACGCUGAGGCGCGAAAGCGUGGGGAGCAAACAGGAUUAGAUACCCUGGUA